CUUCACCGAGCCCAGCCACAGCGGCCGGUCGGCGGAGCGGUCCUUGCCGUAGAUGGAAAGCAGCGCCUGCGCCUC
Molecule: antisense RNA, 75 nt
Filed under: Streptomyces bingchenggensis BCW-1
Lineage: Bacteria; Bacillati; Actinomycetota; Actinomycetes; Kitasatosporales; Streptomycetaceae
Description: ASpks TB sRNA
Rfam family: ASpks TB sRNA
Source: Rfam by way of RNAcentral